This 274-nucleotide ribosomal RNA is filed under the name uncultured bacterium. RNAcentral describes it as "partial 16S ribosomal RNA". It matches the Rfam family "Bacterial small subunit ribosomal RNA", at positions 523 to 796 of the family's 1533-position model. The record is from RNAcentral.
AUACGGAGGGUGCAAGCGUUAUGCGGAUUUACUGGGUUUAAAGGGUACGCAGGCGGUAAUUUAAGUCAGUGGUGAAAGCCUACAGCUCAACUGUAGAACUGCCAUUGAAACUGAAUUACUUGAGUAUGGUAGAGGUAGGCGGAAUACAACAUGUAGCGGUGAAAUGCAUAGAUAUGUUGUAGAACACCGAUUGCGAAGGCAGCUUACUAAACCAUUACUGACGCUCAUGUACGAAAGCGUGGGGAGCGAACAGGAUUAGAAACCCUAGUAGUCC